GAUGAAGAUCGCAGCGAAAUGCGAUAAUUAAUGUGAAUUGCAGAAUUCCGUGAAUCAUCGAGUCUUUGAACGCACAUUGCGCCUCAUGGCAUUCCGUGAGGCAUGCCCAUCUCAGCGUUAGAAAAUAUUCUCAAAUUUUAGUUUUGUGCUAAAAUUUGGAUCAUGUCAAGGAAGCUAUUACUAUUAUUGUGAUCGCUCUUUGGAAAUUGAUAGGUCUUUGAGUUGCUACUCAUAGAACGUGAUGAAUCUUUCUUCGUUCUAUUGUAAUUCACUCUGGUAGUCCUAAAACUUGUAUGCCUGUGGCAUAUCUUGUAAUUUGACCUGAGAUUGGGUAGGGAUACCCGCUGAACUUAAGCAUAUCAAUAAGCGGAGGA
RNAcentral lists this unclassified non-coding RNA (374 nucleotides) under soil metagenome. RNAcentral describes it as "partial contains internal transcribed spacer 2 and large subunit ribosomal RNA". The stretch from base 1 to 120 matches the Rfam family "5.8S ribosomal RNA", at positions 35 to 154 of the family's 154-position model. The record is from RNAcentral.